This 73-nucleotide ribosomal RNA is filed under the name Heterodera latipons. RNAcentral's name for it is "partial 28S ribosomal RNA". The record is from RNAcentral. Lineage: Eukaryota; Metazoa; Nematoda; Chromadorea; Rhabditida; Heteroderidae.
UCGACCCAAAAUUGUAAACUUUUCGUUUUACGACCUCAACUCAAGCAAGAUUACCCGCUGAACUUAAGCAUAU